Molecule: long non-coding RNA, 416 nt
Organism: Esox lucius (northern pike)
Lineage: Eukaryota; Metazoa; Chordata; Actinopteri; Esociformes; Esocidae
Exons: 5
Source: RefSeq, a predicted model, not a curated record
ACAGGAAGACCAAUAAAUCCUUUGGCCGAUAGGAAGUUUUAUUAAAUAUUGCUAUCGGCAGAACUUGGCUCCGAUAGUGGCUGAUGUCUGUGCAGUCUCUACCGGUCACAUGGGACGUACAUCACUUUGCGAUGAGCGGAGGCUCCAUACACGACGUCAAGCUGAGGUCCAGUUCUGUCAGGGGGGAGUCUGGUGUCUGCAGAGCUGAGGCCAGAGUUUCACAGGAUUUAUGUAUUGAACUCCCCCAAGACCUCCUCUGACAUCAACAAUAGAGAGUUGGCACCAAGUUCAUUCAAACAGUGGAACAAGUUGAUUAUCCUUUCUGAAUCCCUUGUAAGAGAUUCUGAUUGGACUCCAGUGAGAGACCCAGAAGGAAGCGGAGGAAGAGGUCCAGGUGUCCAUUCUCACUCUCCAAG